Molecule: ribosomal RNA, 165 nt
Filed under: uncultured bacterium
Lineage: Bacteria
Description: partial 16S rRNA
Rfam family: Bacterial small subunit ribosomal RNA
Source: RNAcentral
UAGGGAAUCUUCCACAAUGGGCGCAAGCCUGAUGGAGCAACACCGCGUGAGUGAAGAAGGUUUUCGGAUCGUAAAACUCUGUUGGUAGAGAAGAACGUUGGUGAGAGUGGAAAGCUCAUCAAGUGACGGUAACUACCCAGAAAGGGACGGCUAACUACGUCCCAG